UUUGUGUGUGUGUGUGUGUCUCAGUGUGUGUUUGUGCACAAACACACACUGAGACACACACACACACAGACA
This 72-nucleotide microRNA precursor is filed under the name Podarcis lilfordi (Lilford's wall lizard). The record is from RNAcentral. Lineage: Eukaryota; Metazoa; Chordata; Lepidosauria; Squamata; Lacertidae.